Long non-coding RNA from Haemorhous mexicanus (house finch), 449 nucleotides. RefSeq lists it as uncharacterized. Lineage: Eukaryota; Metazoa; Chordata; Aves; Passeriformes; Fringillidae. The transcript has 3 exons. The record is from RefSeq and is a predicted model, not a curated record.
GCAGCUCCAGCCCAAACUCCUUGAUCAGUCGAGCAGUUCAUGCAGUACUCCCCUCUCCAAAGGAGAAAAGUGACAUUACAGCUCCCAGACUGGCAGAAUUAACACCAUGAACAUUUCGUUCCAUGAAUCUUCCUCAGUGUGCUUCAUCUCCUGACAAAAAAAGGAGGAAUGAAGUGACAUGUUGAAGACUGUGGUAACUGCUGGGCUGGUGAAUGGAGAUGAAUUUUGUCAACUUGUAUUCUGUGCCUUUGACUGUUUGAGCUCUUGGGCCCUGUGACUUCGCUGAAAGUUCAAAAAGAAAUAAACUGAGAGCCCAAUUUAUAUCAAACUCAGCUUGAGACAGGCUAUCUAGGAAAUACUGACACCACCCAUACAAAAGUUGGCAACAGCUGAAGGUCUCAAAACUGUUGCUCCUGAGCAGGGAAAUUGAAUUUGGGGGAUGUUGCAGG